Small nuclear RNA from Crotalus tigris (Tiger rattlesnake), 120 nucleotides. RefSeq annotates it as U5 spliceosomal RNA. The record is from RefSeq and is a predicted model, not a curated record. NCBI's taxonomy places the organism in Eukaryota, Metazoa, Chordata, Lepidosauria, Squamata, Viperidae. The transcript has a single exon.
AGAAUCUGGUUUCUCUUCAGAUCGUAUAAAUCUUUCGCCUUUUACUAAAGAUUUCCGUGGAGAGGAGCAUUUAUGAGUUUUUAUGGCAAGAAAAUAUUCUUCAGUCAUGGUUUCAAUAUU